UACGAAUGGAGCGAGCGUUGUUCGGAAUCACUGGGCGUAAAGGGUGCGCAGGCGGUCUUGAAAGUUAGAAGUGAAAUCCCUGGGCUUAACCCAGGAAUUGCUUUUAAAACUCCAAGACUAGAGUACUGGAGAGGUUAGCGGAAUUCCAAGUGUAGCAGUGAAAUGCGUAGAUAUUUGGAGGAACACCAAUGGCGUAGGCAGCUAACUGGACAGUAACUGACGCUCAUGCACGAAAGCGUGGGGAUCAAACAGG
RNAcentral lists this ribosomal RNA (253 nucleotides) under uncultured bacterium. RNAcentral's name for it is "partial 16S ribosomal RNA". It matches the Rfam family "Bacterial small subunit ribosomal RNA", at positions 524 to 776 of the family's 1533-position model. The record is from RNAcentral.